RNAcentral lists this transfer RNA (65 nucleotides) under Batracomorphus chlorophana. RNAcentral's name for it is "tRNA-Val". Lineage: Eukaryota; Metazoa; Arthropoda; Insecta; Hemiptera; Cicadellidae. The record is from RNAcentral.
UCAGGAUGUAGCUUAUUUUAAAGCUAAUUAUUUACAUUAAUUUGAAAAUUAUAAUAUUCUUUCUG